GUAUACUAGUAGUACAUACUAGUACUGGUACUACUGCCAGUAGUACAUACUAAUACCAGUAGUACAUACUAGUAUGUACCACUCGUACUAGUACGUAC
RNAcentral lists this transfer RNA (98 nucleotides) under Amborella trichopoda. RNAcentral's name for it is "tRNA AMTR_s00172t00274680". The record is from RNAcentral. Lineage: Eukaryota; Viridiplantae; Streptophyta; Magnoliopsida; Amborellales; Amborellaceae.